UGGGGAAAUUGCACAAUGGGCGAAAGCCUGAUGCAGCAACGCCGCGUGCGGGAUGACGGCCUUCGGGUUGUAAACCGCUUUCAGCAGGGGCGAAGGUUUUCUGACGGUACCUGCAGAAGAAGCACCGGCUAACUACGUGCCAGCAGCCGCGGUGAUACGUAGGGUGCGAGCGUUGUCCGGAAUUAUUGGCGUAAAGAGCUUGUAGGCGGUCCGUUGCGUCGGAAGUGAAAACUCAGGGCUUAACCCUGAGCCUGCUUUCGAUACGGCGGACUUGAGGGAUGUAGGGGAGAACGGAAUUCCUGGUGGAGCGGUGGAAUGCGCAGAUAUCAGGAGGAACACCAGUGGCGAAGGCGGUUCUCUGGACAUUUCCUGACGCUGAGAAGCGAAAGCGUGGGGAGCAAACAGGCUUAGAUACCCUGGUAGUCCACGCCGUAAACGGUGGGCANUAGGUGUGGGA
RNAcentral lists this ribosomal RNA (457 nucleotides) under uncultured bacterium. Its description in RNAcentral is "partial 16S ribosomal RNA". It matches the Rfam family "Bacterial small subunit ribosomal RNA", at positions 356 to 827 of the family's 1533-position model. The record is from RNAcentral.